UACAGAGGAUGCAAACGUUGCUCGGAGUUACUGGGCGUAAAGCGCGCGCAGGCGGUCUCGUAAGUCGGGUGUGAAAGCCCCGGGCUCAACCCGGGAAGUGCACUCGAUACUGCGAGACUGGAGUACUGGAGAGGAGAGCGGAAUUCUCGGUGUAGAGGUGAAAUUCGUAGAUAUCGGGAGGAACACCAGCGGCGAAGGCGGCUCUCUGGACAGAUACUGACGCUGAGGCGCGAAAGCGUGGGAAGCAAACAGG
RNAcentral lists this ribosomal RNA (253 nucleotides) under uncultured bacterium. Its description in RNAcentral is "partial 16S ribosomal RNA". It matches the Rfam family "Bacterial small subunit ribosomal RNA", at positions 524 to 776 of the family's 1533-position model. The record is from RNAcentral.